Molecule: RNA transcript, 1736 nt
Organism: Toxotes jaculatrix (banded archerfish)
Lineage: Eukaryota; Metazoa; Chordata; Actinopteri; Toxotidae
Gene name: protein AMBP-like
Exons: 8
Source: RefSeq, a predicted model, not a curated record
AGAUAAAGAUAUGGUCAGAACUUUGCUCUUUUAGUUGCCUGAUUUUUUUUUUUUUUUUUUUUUUUUUUUUUUUUUUUUUUUGUGCAGGUUGCAGGUGAGAUUUUACAAAACUCACAUUCACACUAUGUCAGUUUAACCCAGUGCAGCAGCAGUGGAGAAGGCACUGGUUGGUGAGACGUGGUAAGAGCCUCUAGUGGACAGAUGAGCUUACAGGAUGCAGAGUGCAGCACAUCUGGUUUCUCUGCUGAUCCUGGGGUCAGCCUGGACCCUCCACAGGGUUCACAUGCUCCCAGAAAAUCUUCCCCUCACACAGGAGAACUUUGAUCUAGGCCUGUUCAUGGGGCAGUGGUAUGAGGUGGCAGUGGUAUCAACCUGUCCCCACUACAUGCAGCGCAAGAGGAGAAACCCUGUCAUUGUUGCCCUGGAGCUGCAACAUGUUGCUUCUGAGAGCAACUUCACAAUGAUGGCGACCACUUUCAGGAAUGGCUCAUGUAAACAGACGUCCACAGACUACAGUUUGACCAACACUCCAGGACGAUUCUUCCACCAUGUUGCCAGGUUUGGAGCAGAUGUUGAUUCCUAUGUGGUUCAUACCAACUAUGAUGAGUACGCAAUGAUGCUUCUGCUGAGCACAGAGAAACCAUCAGGAAAUAAAACCACCACAGUCAAGCUUUAUAGUCGAACUAUGGAUGUGAGUCCUGUAGUGAUGGACAACUUCAAAGCACGGGUGACACAACAUGGAAUAAGUGAGGGCACUAUCAUCAUGAAUCAGAACAAAAGAGAAAAAUGUUGUCCCCCCCCCACCGCCCCCAUCUUACCGUCUUUCCAGAUCUGUGUGUUCCAGAUGAACCGGUGACAGAAACCACUACUCAGCCUCAGAUUCACGCUCCCAAGAGGUCGAAGAGAAAUGUGGUGCCGCCUGUGGACUCUACUAAUAUUUGACCAAUUGGAGCUGCAGCAGCGGCCGUGACUCACAGCUCGUAGAGGAAACCCUUAGCACCUGAGUGUCUUUAUCUGCAUUAAAAAUGUAAUUCUCCUCUAAAUAACACUGCAUCUCGGUCAUAUUCGAACUCACAGACAUAUAUUUAGAUUUGUUCAUUGUGAAAAAAAGUCCACAAACUUGCUUGGAAAUUUUAACAGAUAAGACGCUCCUCACUUUUGCAGAACUUGCCCCAGAAUCAUCACGGUUUUAGGUUUUCUUCAGUAUCAACGUAAUUCAGUGACCAUUUUCUUUACAUCUAUGAGUUCCCGCAAACAGGAACUGCUAAUACCUAGUUUGGCAUCUUUGUAAUGGUGUCAAAAAUGUAGACAAAUAUGGGGUUAAAUAAAACAGGGGUCAAGUUGUUUAACCCAUGACUGACUCAUUGACUCCAUGGCAACUUUCUACUUGUUUACAUCUCCCAAGGCAUUAUGGGAGCUGUAAUUCCAAAACGUAAAGCGGGGAUCUGGUCGGUAAAUGGACUUUGUUCCACAGAUUAAACUGCAUAAAUACAGAAUUUGACUAGACAACUUCUCAUUUAAAAAAAAAGUCCCAUCCAACAGAAAACAUUUGCAAUGUAAAUGUCACAUGUAUGUGACAUUUACAUAAUACAGUAUAAAAAAACAUGUAGUUGUUACUCAGUUUGUUUCUCAGAGUAAGACAUAUUGAUUUGUUGAUGUUGCCAAACUUCAGUGCAAUGCUUAAGUUGUCAGCUGCCCAGACAAGUCAGAUCACAGAGAGAGAGACAAGCAGAACU